CGAUUAGUUAGUUGGUGAGGUAACGGCUCACCAAGACCGCGAUCGGUAGCCGGACUGAGAGGUUGAACGGCCACAUUGGGACUGAGACACGGCCCAGACUCCUACGGGAGGCAGCAUG
Molecule: ribosomal RNA, 118 nt
Filed under: uncultured bacterium
Lineage: Bacteria
Description: partial 16S ribosomal RNA
Rfam family: Bacterial small subunit ribosomal RNA
Source: RNAcentral